RNAcentral lists this ribosomal RNA (494 nucleotides) under uncultured bacterium. RNAcentral's name for it is "partial 16S ribosomal RNA". It matches the Rfam family "Bacterial small subunit ribosomal RNA", at positions 28 to 507 of the family's 1533-position model. The record is from RNAcentral.
GACGAACGCUGGCGGCGUGCUUAACACAUGCAAGUCGAACGGAAAGGCCUGCUUUCCCUUGUGGAUUGCGGGUACUCGAGUGGCGAACGGGUGAGUAACACGUGAGUGAUCUGCCCCCAACUUGGGUAUAAGCCUGGGAAACUGGGUCUAAUUCCCGAUAGGACUGCAGGGUGGUGCCUGUGGUGGAAAACGAUUUUCUAGUGGUUGGGGAUGAGCUCGCGGCCUAUCAGCUUGGUGGUGGGGUAAUGGCCUACCAAGGCGGUGACGGGUAGCCGGCCUGAGAGGGUGGACGGCCACAUUGGGACUGAGAUACGGCCCAGACUCCUACGGGAGGCAGCAGUGGGGAAUAUUGCACAAUGGGCGGAAGCCUGAUGCAGCGACGCCGCGUGGGGGAUGACGGCCUUCGGGUUGUAAACUCCUUUCGACCGCGAGGAAGCCACCUGGUUGGAAGGGUGGUGACGGUAGUGGUAGAAGAAGCACCGGCUAACUACGUG